UACGAAGGGGGCUAGCGUUGCUCGGAAUCACUGGGCGUAAAGCGCACGUAGGCGGCUUUUUAAGUCAGGGGUGAAAUCCUGGAGCUCAACUCCAGAACUGCCUUUGAUACUGGAAAGCUCGAGUCCGGAAGAGGUGAGUGGAACUGCGAGUGUAGAGGUGAAAUUCGUAGAUAUUGGGUGGAACACCGGUGGCGAAAGCGGCUCACUGGCUCGGUUCUGACGCUGAGGCGCGAAAGCGUGGGGAGCAAACAGG
Molecule: ribosomal RNA, 253 nt
Filed under: uncultured bacterium
Lineage: Bacteria
Description: partial 16S ribosomal RNA
Rfam family: Bacterial small subunit ribosomal RNA
Source: RNAcentral